Molecule: ribosomal RNA, 497 nt
Filed under: uncultured bacterium
Lineage: Bacteria
Description: partial 16S ribosomal RNA
Rfam family: Bacterial small subunit ribosomal RNA
Source: RNAcentral
GACGAACGCUGGCGGCGUGCCUAAUACAUGCAAGUUGAGCGCUGAAGGUUGGUACUUGUACCAACUGGAUGAGCAGCGAACGGGUGAGUAACGCGUGGGUAAUCUGCCUUUGAGCGGGGGACAACAUUUGGAAACGAUUGCUAAUACCGCAUAAAAACUUUAAACACAAGUUUUAAGUUUGAAAGAUGCAAUUGCAUCACUCAAAGAUGAUCCCGCGUUGUAUUAGCUAGUUGGUGAGGUAAAGGCUCACCAAGGCGAUGAUACAUAGCCGACCUGAGAGGGGGAUCGGCCACAUUGGGAAUGAGACACGGCCCAAACUCCUACGGGAGGCAGCAGUAGGGAAGCUUCGGCAAUGGACGAAAGUCUGAACGAGCAACGCCGCGUGAGUGAAGAAGGUUUUCGGAUCGUAAAACUCUGUUGGUAGAGAAGAACGUUGGUGAGAGUGGAAAGCUCAUCAAGUGACGGUAACUACCCAGAAAGGGACGGCUAACUACGUG